GACGAACGCUGGCGGCGUGCUUAACACAUGCAAGUCGAACGGAAAGGCCCUGCUUUUGUGGGGUGCUCGAGUGGCGAACGGGUGAGUAACACGUGAGUAACCUGCCCUUGACUUUGGGAUAACUUCAGGAAACUGGGGCUAAUACCGGAUAGGAGCUCCUGCUGCAUGGUGGGGGUUGGAAAGUUUCGGCGGUUGGGGAUGGACUCGCGGCUUAUCAGCUUGUUGGUGGGGUAGUGGCUUACCAAGGCUUUGACGGGUAGCCGGCCUGAGAGGGUGACCGGCCAGAUUGGGACUGAGAUACGGCCCAGACUCCUGCGGGAGGCAGCAGUGGGGAAGAUUGCACAAUGGGCGGAAGCCUGAUGCAGCAACGCCGCGUGCGGGAUGACGGCCUUCGGGUUGUAAACCGAUUUCGCCUGUGACGAAGCGUGAGUGACGGUAAUGGGUAAAGAAGCAACGGCUAACUACGUG
RNAcentral lists this ribosomal RNA (468 nucleotides) under uncultured bacterium. RNAcentral describes it as "partial 16S ribosomal RNA". It matches the Rfam family "Bacterial small subunit ribosomal RNA", at positions 28 to 507 of the family's 1533-position model. The record is from RNAcentral.